GUUAAGCGACUAAGCGUACACGGUGGAUGCCCUGGCAGUCAGAGGCGAUGAAGGACGUGCUAAUCUGCGAUAAGCGUCGGUGAGGUGAUAUGAACCGUUAUAACCGGCGAUUUCCGAAUGGGGAAACCCAGUGUGUUUCGACACACUAUCAUUAACUGAAUCCAUAGGUUAAUGAGGCGAACCGGGGGAACUGAAACAUCUAAGUACCCCGAGGAAAAGAAAUCAACCGAGAUUCCCCCAGUAGCGGCGAGCGAACGGGGAGGAGCCCAGAGUCUGAAUCAGUGUGUGUGUUAGUGGAAGCGUCUGGAAAGGCGCGCGAUACAGGGUGACAGCCCCGUACACAAAAAUGCACAUAUUGUGAGCUCGAUGAGUAGGGCGGGACACGUGGUAUCCUGUCUGAAUAUGGGGGGACCAUCCUCCAAGGCUAAAUACUCCUGACUGACCGAUAGUGAACCAGUACCGUGAGGG
Molecule: ribosomal RNA, 468 nt
Filed under: Escherichia coli
Lineage: Bacteria; Pseudomonadati; Pseudomonadota; Gammaproteobacteria; Enterobacterales; Enterobacteriaceae
Description: partial 23S ribosomal RNA
Rfam family: Bacterial large subunit ribosomal RNA
Source: RNAcentral